Non-coding RNA from Pelobates cultripes (western spadefoot toad), 309 nucleotides. Lineage: Eukaryota; Metazoa; Chordata; Amphibia; Anura; Pelobatidae. The record is from the annotation of a GenBank genome assembly.
AUACCAUACUGGAAGAUUCCAAUCCAAGGGUGAAUACAGCAAAUAGCGGGUAGAAACCUCCUUUGAGACCAGUAACACAUAGGGUUAUUACAACUGUGACAGGUAAGGCUAAGAUGCUCAAGGUCAACACUUAAACUGUAAUGAACAAGGUCAUAUGAAGUGAUGCUUUGGUGGGAAUGUUUUGCUCAGCUCGGGGAAGGCGAGGUCACAGCCUCUGGGGAUGAAUGGGAGGGGACAGCAUAAGGCCGACGGAACAGACAAAGUAUGAGACACCAAGGUACAGACGUCAACGCAAGUACAAUGGACUAC